This 450-nucleotide ribosomal RNA is filed under the name uncultured Glomeromycotina. RNAcentral's name for it is "SSU rRNA". It matches the Rfam family "Eukaryotic small subunit ribosomal RNA", at positions 569 to 1021 of the family's 1831-position model. Lineage: Eukaryota; Fungi; Glomeromycota. The record is from RNAcentral.
AGCAGCCGCGGUAAUUCCAGCUCCAAUAGCGUAUAUUAAAGUUGUUGCAGUUAAAAAGCUCGUAGUUGAAUUUCGGAGUUUGUCGGUUGGUCGGGCUUCAUUGUCCGCACUGACCUGAUGGAUUCCUACCUUCUGAAUAACCAGCAUGCUAUUAAGUUAGUGCGUUGGGGAAGCAGAGCUAUUACCUUGAAAAAAUUAGAGUGCUUAAAGCAGGCUUAUGCUUGAAUAGAUUAGCAUGGAAUAAUAAAAUAGGACGGCAUGGUUCUAUUUUGUUGGUUUCUAGGAUCACCGUAAUGAUUAAUAGGGAUAGUUGGGGGCAUUAGUAUUCAAUUGUCAGAGGUGAAAUUCUUGGAUUUAUUGAAGACUAACUUCUGCGAAAGCAUUUGCCAAGGAUGUUUUCAUUAAUCAAGAACGAAAGUUAGGGGAUCGAAGACGAUCAGAUACCGUCGU